CAGAAAACAAAGAGAACCCAGAGAGCUCUGCUUUUACAUUUUAAGCUGCCUAAAAGCCAGAUGACUGCUUAAUAUAAAACAUAAUUGGAAAGAAGGCACAAGAGAGUUAAUGAGAGAAACACAACCUUCAUUUCCUCUGUAGACCACAACAGGUUCAAUGUCAAGUGGAACAAUUAUAAGAAUUAAAUGGAAAAUGAGGCCAACUCUUCAGUAUGAGCCUUUGCUGUUAUAAGUAAACUAAUUAGGUAUAACUGACAUUUCUUUGGCAGACAAAGCCCAAGAGUAGAGAAUUUCAAAGUCCUUUUGCUGGUCUGGCUUAUUUCACUCAACAGAACUAGUGAACUUUAAUAGCAAAUACACUUUUCCUUCAGUAAAAGAUGGGUCUACACAAGAACUGUUUUGUUAACAUUGCUGGCAAACCUCUUUAGCAGAGACUGAUCUCAACAGAGCUGUAGAUGAAGGCCAAAGUUCAGAUUCAUAAACCAGAAACCACUGGGUACCAGCUGAGGCCUAGUAGCUGCCUCUGAGCAUGCUUUUGACCUAAGACAACAGUUUUAACAUCUUUUACUGUAGCUUAAACUGGCUUGUACCUCUGUGAACCUAAGUAAAUAUUCACAGGUAACCUACUGCAUUGUAACACGAUGAACCAAAGUGAAGUGGCCCAAGUACCUGUGGAGCAGUCAGGGAAAGGGAAUACUGAUAUUCCCUCCUCUCAAAUCCCACACAGAAACAAAAAAACUCAGCACUAGUAUGUUCUGACACUGACUGAAGUACAAGUUCCAUUUUCCAUCACUCCAGUGUCCAGUCUCCAACCUUCAGACCAAGAGGGUUUUGAUUUUUGUUGGGGGCUUUAAGCCAAAGCUCUUGGGGCCUACAUUUUGGUCUGACUUGUUCUUCCAGAUCUGAUUGUAACUCUCAAAUGACAGAGACUGAGUCUUCCCCAGUGUUUAUAUCUUACCAAGCAGACUGAAGACAAUCAAUAAAGCAGAGAUCAUCUCAAUAAAAGUUUGUAUACAUUUCAUUAAGUCAUUUAAGUGCAUGUGUAAGUUACUGCAUGAACAGCUUCCAAGUGGAGCACUGUGAAACUCCAUAGCAACACUAAUGACAUCAGGGAAAAGAAUGAGCCUUUGAAAAAAUAGAAAGCUGAAGAGGUCAUGGCUUUCAGCCACACUUGAUCCUUCAACAUUCAGCAUAAAGUGUACUUUUCAUUCCCCCAGCUGGUGAAGAACAGAAUACAGGAGACAGGGGUGAUGCUCUCCUCCUCACUGAUGCCGUUUUUAAACACACAAUUGCUUGGGCUCUUUACCUGUGGUAACUCUUGGAAAAAUCCUGGGCAUGGCCUUGUCUGGCUGCUCUUAGAAGCAGUGAUUAGGACAGCCAGUAACAACAGUCAAGGAAAACACAGUAUGUGAUGCUGGAAACAAAUUGUUAUUACAGAGAAUCACUUUGUGCAAAAGCCUUUUUCAUACAACAGCACCAAUUAUUUCAGAGUUCAGAGCCACAGCUUUCAACUUCAGUGGGAAAAAAACCAAAACCAUAAACAUCUUUAAUUCUGUCCUGGCUCUUGUAAACUUCACAUCUGUAUCAGGAGCACCUUCUGCCCUUUAUGGUGCAGGUAUCACCCCACAGCUGUGUGCAAGCUCGGAUUGGGUGCAGAUGUGAAGAGCAAUUGAGAGGAUGUGGAUCCACAGGAGAGGCAGGACCCGAGAUCACAAGCAGCCCGAGGCUGUUUGCUCUUGUGUGGACACUGAGGAAGAAGGAUGUGCAUAACCCAGCUUUCCCUGCUCAGCCUGAGCUGCAGGUGUGCCUGGGAGGCCCUUGGGUGGCUGGUUUGCAGGGAAUUCAAGUGUCCUACAUCAGCACUGCGACACUCAGGGAAGCACAGAGGAUUGAAGUGUCACUGCUGUGGGCUCGGGGUGACAAACCCAAGGUGUUCACAGCACUGCUGCCUGGAAAAGAUGGAGUGUGCGCAGCAGGGGCUGUGCUCCAGCCAGCUCAGGAAAGGAAAGAAUUACCCAGCCAGGAAAACACUCUGAAAAAUCCUUCAGACAUUUGAAACAGUGCUUAUUAUUUUUAAUAUCUGCAUUUCAGAUUUUCCUGGGGUUAUUGUUAUUGUUAUUGCUAUCCUUUAACAAGUAGAAAGAGACACAGAAGAGCUGAGAUAUUUCCUGAUCUGUUUUGUUUGCCUUUAGAUAAAUAAAUCUGCAAACGUUUCAAAA
This is a non-coding RNA of Cyanistes caeruleus (blue tit), 2219 nucleotides long. The record is from RefSeq and is a predicted model, not a curated record. Lineage: Eukaryota; Metazoa; Chordata; Aves; Passeriformes; Paridae.